Molecule: long non-coding RNA, 257 nt
Organism: Etheostoma spectabile (orangethroat darter)
Lineage: Eukaryota; Metazoa; Chordata; Actinopteri; Perciformes; Percidae
Exons: 3
Source: RefSeq, a predicted model, not a curated record
GGGGUGGAGUGACGGAUAGGCAGAGAUGAAGAGAUGGGCCUUGAGGCGGGACUGGAAGAUGGUGAGGGAUUCAGAGUUGCGGAUCUCUUGGGGGAAGGAGUUCCAGAGCCUGGGAGCAGCCCUGGAGAAGGCUCUGUCCCCAAAACUGCAGAGGUUGGACUUGUGGGUGCCGAGGAGACCGGCUGGGGUGGAUCUGAGGGGCCGUGAAGGUUAGUAGGGGGAGAAGAGGUCAGUGAGGUGGAUAUGAGGGACCAGUG